GCAGUCGAGCGGCAGCGGGAAAGUAGCUUGCUACUUUUGCCGGCGAGCGGCGGACGGGUGAGUAAUGCCUGGGGAUCUGCCCAGUCGAGGGGGAUAACUACUGGAAACGGUAGCUAAUACCGCAUACGCCCUACGGGGGAAAGCAGGGGACCUUCGGGCCUUGCGCGAUUGGAUGAACCCAGGUGGGAUUAGCUAGUUGGUGAGGUAAUGGCUCACCAAGGCGACGAUCCCUAGCUGGUCUGAGAGGAUGAUCAGCCACACUGGAACUGAGACACGGUCCAGACUCCUACGGGAGGCAGCAGUGGGGAAUAUUGCACAAUGGGGGAAACCCUGAUGCAGCCAUGCCGCGUGUGUGAAGAAGGCCUUCGGGUUGUAAAGCACUUUCAGCGAGGAGGAGAGGUUGGUAGCGAAUAACUGCCAGCUGUGACGUUACUCGCAGAAGAAGCACCGGCUAACUCCGUGCCAGCAGCCGCGGUAAUACGGAGGG
This 487-nucleotide ribosomal RNA is filed under the name Aeromonas sp. CSeC0_45. RNAcentral's name for it is "bacterial SSU rRNA". It matches the Rfam family "Bacterial small subunit ribosomal RNA", at positions 57 to 532 of the family's 1533-position model. Lineage: Bacteria; Pseudomonadati; Pseudomonadota; Gammaproteobacteria; Aeromonadales; Aeromonadaceae. The record is from RNAcentral.